RNAcentral lists this microRNA (22 nucleotides) under Caenorhabditis elegans. The record is from RNAcentral. Lineage: Eukaryota; Metazoa; Nematoda; Chromadorea; Rhabditida; Rhabditidae.
UGACAGGAGGUAGUAGGCCAAG